This 253-nucleotide ribosomal RNA is filed under the name uncultured bacterium. RNAcentral's name for it is "partial 16S ribosomal RNA". It matches the Rfam family "Bacterial small subunit ribosomal RNA", at positions 524 to 776 of the family's 1533-position model. The record is from RNAcentral.
UACGUAGGGUGCGAGCGUUGUCCGGAAUUAUUGGGCGUAAAGAGCUCGUAGGCGGCUUGUCGCGUCGGAUGUGAAAGCCCGGGGCUUAACUCCGGGUCUGCAUUCGAUACGGGCAGGCUAGAGUUCGGUAGGGGAGAUCGGAAUUCCUGGUGUAGCGGUGAAAUGCGCAGAUAUCAGGAGGAACACCGAUGGCGAAGGCAGGUCUCUGGGCCACUACUGACGCUGAGAAGCGAAAGCAUGGGGAGCGAACAGG